This 540-nucleotide ribosomal RNA is filed under the name uncultured bacterium. RNAcentral describes it as "partial 16S ribosomal RNA". The record is from RNAcentral.
AACGUGGACUCCAACGUCAAAGGGCGAAAAACCGUCUAUCAGGGCGAUGGCCCACUACGUGAACCAUCACCCUAAUCAAGUUUUUUGGGGUCGAGGUGCCGUAAAGCACUAAAUCGGAACCCUAAAGGGAGCCCCCGAUUUAGAGCUUGACGGGGAAAGCCGGCGAACGUGGCGAGAAAGGAAGGGAAGAAAGCGAAAGGAGCGGGCGCUAGGGCGCUGGCAAGUGUAGCGGUCACGCUGCGCGUAACCACCACACCCGCCGCGCUUAAUGCGCCGCUACAGGGCGCGUCCAUUCGCCAUUCAGGCUGCGCAACUGUUGGGAAGGGCGAUCGGUGCGGGCCUCUUCGCUAUUACGCCAGCUGGCGAAAGGGGGAUGUGCUGCAAGGCGAUUAAGUUGGGUAACGCCAGGGUUUUCCCAGUCACGACGUUGUAAAACGACGGCCAGUGAAUUGUAAUACGACUCACUAUAGGGCGAAUUGGGCCCUCUAGAUGCAUGCUCGAGCGGCCGCCAGUGUGAUGGAUAUCUGCAGAAUUCGCCCU